GCGGAAGGACGGCCUUCCGAUCAGCACAUCAUCCGCGGGGACGACCCUG
This 49-nucleotide non-coding RNA is filed under the name Afipia sp. RNAcentral describes it as "Guanidine-II sequence". It matches the Rfam family "Guanidine-II riboswitch aptamer (mini-ykkC)". Rfam says of the family: Simpler in structure and has fewer highly conserved nucleotide positions than the ykkC-yxkD leader. The record is from RNAcentral. RNAcentral also lists the same sequence under 1 other name. Lineage: Bacteria; Pseudomonadati; Pseudomonadota; Alphaproteobacteria; Hyphomicrobiales; Nitrobacteraceae.